RNAcentral lists this ribosomal RNA (586 nucleotides) under Sphaerulina myriadea. RNAcentral describes it as "eukaryotic LSU rRNA". The stretch from base 251 to 404 matches the Rfam family "5.8S ribosomal RNA". Lineage: Eukaryota; Fungi; Ascomycota; Dothideomycetes; Mycosphaerellales; Mycosphaerellaceae. The record is from RNAcentral.
ACCUGCGGAGGGAUCAUUACAGAGUGUGAAGUGCGGGCGCCGGAGCCCCUCACCCCGCGGCCAACAGCCCGUGGUGCCGGUCACCCUCCGGCCCCGCGCCACCUCCAACCCUUUGUGAACACGACCUGUUGCUUCGGGGGCGACCCUGCCGUUUGCGCGGCGGGCGCCCCCGGAGGCCGUCGCGGCGCCCCCUGGGCGUCCCGACCCUACCACUGCAUCCCUGCGUCGGAGUUUAAGUAAAUUUAAACAAAACUUUCAACAACGGAUCUCUUGGUUCUGGCAUCGAUGAAGAACGCAGCGAAAUGCGAUAAGUAAUGUGAAUUGCAGAAUUCAGUGAAUCAUCGAAUCUUUGAACGCACAUUGCGCCCUCUGGUAUUCCGGAGGGCAUGCCUGUUCGAGCGUCAUUUCACCACUCACGCCUGGCGUGGUAUUGGGUGCCGCGGGGUUCCCGCGCGCCUCAAAGUCUCCGGCUGAGCUGUCCGUCUCCAAGCGUUGUGAUUUCAUUAGUCGCUUGGGGUGCGGGCGGCCGCGGCCGUUAAAUCUUUCACCAGGUUGACCUCGGAUCAGGUAGGGAUACCCGCUGAAC